CGGCUAACUACGUGCCAGCAGCCGCGGUAAUACGUAGGGCGCAAGCGUUGUCCGGAAUUAUUGGGCGUAAAGAGCUCGUAGGCGGCUUGUCACGUCGGUUGUGAAAGCCCGGGGCUUAACCCCGGGUCUGCAGUCGAUACGGGCAGGCUAGAGUGUGGUAGGGGAGAUCGGAAUUCCUGGUGUAGCGGUGAAAUGCGCAGAUAUCAGGAGGAACACCGGUGGCGAAGGCGGAUCUCUGGGCCAUUACUGACGCUGAGGAGCGAAAGCGUGGGGAGCGAACAGGAUUAGAUACCCUGGUAGUCCACGCCGUAAACGGUGGGAACUAGGUGUUGGCGACAUUCCACGUCGUCGGUGCCGCAGCUAACGCAUUAAGUUCCCCGCCUGGGGAGUACGGCCGCAAGGCUAAAACUCAAAGGAAUUGACGGGGGCCCGCACAAGCAGCGGAGCAUGUGGCUUAAUUCGACGCAACGCGAAGAACCUUACCAAGGCUUGACAUACACCGGAAAGCAUUAGAGAUAGUGCCCCC
This 526-nucleotide ribosomal RNA is filed under the name Streptomyces sp. Its description in RNAcentral is "bacterial SSU rRNA". It matches the Rfam family "Bacterial small subunit ribosomal RNA", at positions 494 to 1016 of the family's 1533-position model. The record is from RNAcentral. Lineage: Bacteria; Bacillati; Actinomycetota; Actinomycetes; Kitasatosporales; Streptomycetaceae.